CCAAUUGUGGCUCAGCUGGUAAAGAAUCCACCUGCAAUGUGGGAGACCUGGGUUCAAUCCCAGGGUUGGG
RNAcentral lists this transfer RNA (70 nucleotides) under Ovis aries (sheep). It matches the Rfam family "tRNA". From Rfam's summary of the family: Transfer RNA (tRNA) molecules are approximately 80 nucleotides in length. Their secondary structure includes four short double-helical elements and three loops (D, anti-codon, and T loops). Further hydrogen bonds mediate the characteristic L-shaped molecular structure. tRNAs have two regions of fundamental functional importance: the anti-codon, which is responsible for specific mRNA codon recognition, and the 3' end, to which the tRNAs corresponding amino acid is attached (by aminoacyl-tRNA synthetases). tRNAs cope with the degeneracy of the genetic code in two manners: having more than one tRNA (with a specific anti-codon) for a particular amino acid; and 'wobble' base-pairing, i.e. permitting non-standard base-pairing at the 3rd anti-codon position. The record is from Rfam by way of RNAcentral. Lineage: Eukaryota; Metazoa; Chordata; Mammalia; Artiodactyla; Bovidae.